Long non-coding RNA from Homo sapiens (human), 1492 nucleotides. RefSeq lists it as uncharacterized. The record is from RefSeq and is a predicted model, not a curated record. The transcript is spliced from 7 exons. NCBI's taxonomy places the organism in Eukaryota, Metazoa, Chordata, Mammalia, Primates, Hominidae.
CUAGUCCGGGCCUUGGGGGAGUCCCCGGAGUCCCCGUGGCUUUCCAGCUCCAGGCUCGGGAGAGGGUGACCUUGGAGCCGGGAUUUCACUUCUACAGCGCUGUGGUGCCGGGGGGACAGGGAGAAGGGCUCCCUGGCCCCCAGUUCACGAGGAGAAGGGGCCUUGACCGGUCAGGACCACCACCCUACGACGCCGCUCAGCUCUGGGCGAUUCUCUCCUCCCUUGCUGAAGCAGGCAUUGAGAGCCUGCGUUCCUCCCGCUCUGUUUCCGUUUAGGUAAAAUGGAUAGAAUAAUAGUACUUACCUCAAAGGAUUGUUGAAGAGAAUCAACAAGAUGAUAUCCCUGAAGCACUGGGAAUAGUGUCUGGCACACAGCACUCUCCCAGGAGCACACCGCGGCGCUAGAGAAGACCAGGAAAAAGGACCUGAGCCAGCUUGCCGUCUUAACAAAAAUUUCAAACUUUGCAAAGCGGUAUACCUUCUUAUUCUCCAGUUCAGUAUUGCCAGUGAAGUCAUACUGAACGCAGACAAGGAAAAGAAAGAAAAAGAAACUCAAUGAGAUAUGUUGUCAUCUUCCCUGUUUUAUGGAUGAAGUUCUAAGUAGAGGUUCGGAGAAGGUCUUCCAAAUUAUGAAAAUUGGCAAUUGGGCGAUGUUCACAGUGUCCCGUCUACUGCCUGGGGCCCCUGUCAUGCAGCAGCUGCAGAUACCACGUCCUUGGGUUGGAGCCCCUUCUCUACUCACGUUGGACAUAGAAUCACUUUUCCAAUCAGAAGUAAUAUGAAACAAAAUUGGACUUUUUCAUCAACUGGAGAAAUUGAAACAUGUUUAUUUAAUUGUUAUGGCAUGCAAGAUAUUUUCUCAAGACUUCCAGUUAGAAGGGAAUCAGAAAUUUUGACCCUUUUUUGAAAUUCUUGAAAAAGCCCUCAAAUUGUAGGAAAAUGAAAGUGGUAAGUAAAUGCCCAUUAAGUAAUCAUGAAGUGAGAGUUUCUAGAAAGUGAAGAAUCUGGGUAAAACAAAGUUGUUCUUAAUAACAGAGAUUAGAGGCCACAUGGCAAUGAUAGUAAUAAAGCAGCAAGAAUAAUGCUGCCCCAGACACUCUCCGGCGGCUUCAGACAGGUGGACUGAUCUGAGCACUGAGAACAUUUAAGUGUGGGAAACAUUUUACUCCAGCUUUAACUUCUUAAUACAAGCUCCAGUUCCACGUGUCCCACUCAUGCCAACUGCCAGCACCACCAAAGCCCUUAAAAGUUUCCUUGUCUUAAUGGCUUCCACUCUCCCCUCCUCUCAGGCACCCAUCAUCCCUGACUCAAACCUGUAGACAAGCCAGACCAAGUUACGUCUCUUCAGAAAAGGAGCAGCUUGAACCAUUCUACCCACUUCCAGCCUGGCUUCUAAAUCUGGGGUCUCUUUGAUAAUACUCUCAGCCCAGUGGAGAGGAAAGUCUACUGGGGACAGCUAAAAUUUGGCCUACCCUUCCUAGCACAGCCAGUCC